RNAcentral lists this non-coding RNA (73 nucleotides) under Pseudomonas aeruginosa. The record is from RNAcentral. Lineage: Bacteria; Pseudomonadati; Pseudomonadota; Gammaproteobacteria; Pseudomonadales; Pseudomonadaceae.
AGCCAUGGUCAGCUCCUUCUUAGCUGCUUGUGGUUAGCGGGCCGUAGGUGUUGACGCACCUACGGCCCGCGUC